UGCGGGCCCUCGGGGCCCACCUCCCACCCGUGUUGCCCGAACCUAUGUUGCCUCGGCGGGCCCCGCGCCCGCCGACGGCCCCCCUGAACGCUGUCUGAAGUUGCAGUCUGAGACCUAUAACGAAAUUAGUUAAAACUUUCAACAACGGAUCUCUUGGUUCCGGCAUCGAUGAAGAACGCAGCGAAAUGCGAUAACUAAUGUGAAUUGCAGAAUUCAGUGAAUCAUCGAGUCUUUGAACGCACAUUGCGCCCUCUGGUAUUCCGGAGGGCAUGCCUGUCCGAGCGUCAUUGCUGCCCUCAAGCCCGGCUUGUGUGUUGGGCCCCGUCCCCCCCGCCGGGGGGACGGGCCCGAAAGGCAGCGGCGGCACCGCGUCCGGUCCUCGAGCGUAUGGGGCUUCGUCACCCGCUCUAGUAGGCCCGGCCGGCGCCAGCCGACCCCCAACCUUUAAUUAUCUCAGGUUGACCUCGGAUCAGGUAGGGAUACCCGCUGAACUUAAGCAUAUCAAUAAAGCGGGAAGUAAACGAGUGCGGGCCCCUCGGGGCCAACCUCACCGUGUUGCCGAACUAUGUUGCCUCGGCGGGCCGCGCCGCACGGCCCCUGAACCUGUCUGAAGUUGCAGUCUGAGACCUAUAACGAAAUUAGUUUAAAACUUUCACAACGGAUCUCUUGGAUUCGGCAUCGAUGAAGAAGCAGCGAAAUGCGAUAACUAAUGUGAAUUGCAGAAUU
RNAcentral lists this ribosomal RNA (726 nucleotides) under Penicillium citrinum. RNAcentral describes it as "eukaryotic LSU rRNA". The stretch from base 134 to 287 matches the Rfam family "5.8S ribosomal RNA". The record is from RNAcentral. Lineage: Eukaryota; Fungi; Ascomycota; Eurotiomycetes; Eurotiales; Aspergillaceae.